This 481-nucleotide small RNA is filed under the name Pongo abelii (Sumatran orangutan). RNAcentral's name for it is "processed transcript". The record is from RNAcentral. Lineage: Eukaryota; Metazoa; Chordata; Mammalia; Primates; Hominidae.
GGGAAACUCCCGAGCUCUGCUCGGCGUUCGCAGCCGCCGUCGUCCCGCGGAGGAGCGCGCAGCCCGGGGGAGGCCGGAGGACGCAGGGAAGUCGGCCAGCAGCCCCAAGCCUGACACCAAGGUGCCCCAGGCCACCACCGAGGCCAAGGUACCCCCGGCAGCCGAUGGGAAAGCCCCCUUGACCAAGUCCUCGAAGAAGGAGGCCCCGGCCGAGAAGCAGCAGCCGCCUGCAGCCCCCACCACGGCACCUGCCAAGAAGACCCCGGCCAAGGCUGACCCUGCCCUUCUCAACAACCACAGCAACCUGAAGCCGGCCCCCACAGCCCCCACGGUCCCCAGCAGUCCCGAUGCAACCCCGGAGCCCAAGGGUCCUGGGGACGGGGCGGAGGAGGACGAGGCUGCCAGUGGGGGGCCUGGGGGCCGAGGUCCCUGGUCCUGUGAGAACUUCAACCCCCUGCUGGUAGCUGGGGGUGUGGCCGUG